AGAGUUUGAUCCUGGCUCAGGACGAACGCUGGCGGCGUGCUUAACACAUGCAAGUCGAACGGAAAGGCCCUUCGGGGUACUCGAGUGGCGAACGGGUGAGUAACACGUGGGUGAUCUGCCCUGCACUUUGGGAUAAGCCUGGGAAACUGGGUCUAAUACCGGAUAGGACCACGGCAUUCAUGUGCUGUGGUGGAAAGCUUUUGCGGUGUGGGAUGGGCCCGCGGCCUAUCAGCUUGUUGUGGGGGUAAUGGCCUACCAAGGCGACGACGGGUAGCCGGCCUGAGAGGGUGACCGGCCACACUGGGACUGAGAUACGGCCCAGACUCCUACGGGAGGCAGCAGUGGGGAAUAUUGCACAAUGGGCGCAAGCCUGAUGCAGCGACGCCGCGUGAGGGAUGACGGCCUUCGGGUUGUAAACCUCUUUCGCCAGGGGCGAAGCGCAAGUGACGGUACCUGGAGAAGAAGGACCGGCCAACUACGUG
RNAcentral lists this ribosomal RNA (482 nucleotides) under uncultured Mycobacterium sp. RNAcentral's name for it is "bacterial SSU rRNA". It matches the Rfam family "Bacterial small subunit ribosomal RNA", at positions 8 to 507 of the family's 1533-position model. The record is from RNAcentral. Lineage: Bacteria; Bacillati; Actinomycetota; Actinomycetes; Mycobacteriales; Mycobacteriaceae.